Molecule: long non-coding RNA, 681 nt
Organism: Astyanax mexicanus (Mexican tetra)
Lineage: Eukaryota; Metazoa; Chordata; Actinopteri; Characiformes; Acestrorhamphidae
Exons: 3
Source: RefSeq, a predicted model, not a curated record
GGUCCGCGACUCUUGCAUAAAGAUCAUUUGCUAAGGAGACUACACUAUCGAGUCAGACUUUACCGCUGGGCAGUGAUGACGUAGUGCACAGGUAAAGAUGGUUUGUAGAGGAGAAGGUACUCUUAAGCUGGUUUUGCGUUGGACAGCGGCAGUGACGUAUUGCGCAGAUGAGCGGGGUUGUUAUAUUACCGGUCCUGCGCAGUUGCAUUUGUUUGGCGUGGUGAACGAUAGCGGCAUAAGUCGGCAGUGCGGCGCGAUUCUGCGGUACUGAGACCUGUCUGAGCGCCUUAGGAUCUAACUCAGUGUGGUGGUAAACGGUGUGUGACUAUGCUGGUGAUGAGAGCUGUAGAGAAGUUGGCUACAGGUGUAUGUAAAAGGUGUUGAGAGUUGAGGAGCCCAGUGUUGGCCAACUGUAAGUUUUAGGUUGGUAUUUUAUGAAUUUAGUGAUUAAUCUGUGUAUCUGGCAUAAAAGGGAAACAUGACAAGGGUAUGUAGAGGGCGUUUGUAUAUGUAUAGGAAUGUUUAAACGUGUAUAUUAAGACUUUGUUUUUAAAAUAUAUAACUAAAUUGUUUAGUAUAUGGAAUUUAAACAGGCAGUAAGCCAAUAUUGGUGGGACAAUUUAGUGUAUUAAGGUAGGUUUUGAUUUUAAGCUGGUGUGAUUUUUGUAUUCUUUUUUUAAU